Molecule: small nuclear RNA, 162 nt
Filed under: Echinops telfairi (small Madagascar hedgehog)
Lineage: Eukaryota; Metazoa; Chordata; Mammalia; Afrosoricida; Tenrecidae
Description: U1 spliceosomal RNA (ENSETEG00000022658.1)
Rfam family: U1 spliceosomal RNA
About the family: U1 is a small nuclear RNA (snRNA) component of the spliceosome (involved in pre-mRNA splicing). Its 5' end forms complementary base pairs with the 5' splice junction, thus defining the 5' donor site of an intron.
Source: RNAcentral
CUACUUACUGGGCAGGGGAGACACCGUGAUCAGGACGGGGGUUUUCCCAGGGCAAGGCUUGCCGGUGCACUGCGGUGUGCUGAUCCCUGUGAUUUCCCCAAAUGUGGGAAAGUCGACUGCAUACUUUGUGGUAGUGGGGGACUGCGUUCGCGCUCUCCCCUG